Molecule: long non-coding RNA, 791 nt
Filed under: Medicago truncatula (barrel medic)
Lineage: Eukaryota; Viridiplantae; Streptophyta; Magnoliopsida; Fabales; Fabaceae
Description: long non-coding RNA (MTRU_LNC001071)
Source: RNAcentral
UCUUAUCUCACACACCCAUAGAUUCAUUAUAAUAAUGUAAUUUUGUUCAUCUGUGUCCAUCAAAUUCAUUAUGGCAUAUACCACAUUGAAUAUGAUCUACCUUGAGUGUCAUGUCAAUAUAAUGGAUAGUUAAUUACAAAGCCAUUAAAAAUCACAUUCAAUAUAUGCACUCUUCUCUCUACACAAAAUUGUCGAUGGCUCCAUUAGCCACAUAACAUAAGUAAACUAAAUUACACUAUUGUACAAAUCCCAAUACAUUUUACCAUUUCAUGCCUCCAAUUACUCAAAGUACUUGAAAGAUAGUAUGAAACUAAAAACUUCAGUAUCUUCUGCAAUAGACGUCUCUUCCUCCUUAAAUAAUCAAAAAUUGAAUCAUCAGAAAAAGAAAAGAUAGAUGAUACUACUAUUGUGAAUAGUUAAUCAUGAUUCUUCCCGCAGAUGACGAAAUCACGCAAGAAAGCACUUCGUUAUGUACAGCAUAUGCUUUGUUUAAGGUUGGAAAAAAAAAAAUUGAAGAUUAUAUAUUUAGGUCAUGUUUGGAUUAGCAACUGACAUCUCUUUAGGAGAGCUUAUGGAAACAGAUCAUAAUAUGGUCCAUAAACUGCUUCAGCUUAUUUGUAUAAGCUCUCCAAGAUAAUUCAUAUGGACUUACAAGUUGCAAUAACACUCCAAAAUACAAUUAAUUUGAACCAUGAAGCACACAGUCCUAGCUUGUAAGUAAUAUGGAUGAACUCAUGUGAUAUGCCAAUAUAAUACCAAACUAUGAUUUUUUGACAUAACAUUAGAAGAUU